AGCAGUGUGGUGUAGUGGUUUGAGCAUUAGACUAUGACUCUAGAGACCAGGGUUCAAAUCCUGACUCGACCA
This 72-nucleotide transfer RNA is filed under the name Phrynosoma platyrhinos (Desert horned lizard). Its description in RNAcentral is "tRNA-OTHER". The record is from RNAcentral. Lineage: Eukaryota; Metazoa; Chordata; Lepidosauria; Squamata; Phrynosomatidae.